GCUAAGUUGCUGAAGCUGUUUACUGAUGCCUUCGGGCUGAGGUGAAAAGUGGAGCCAACGACCCUAUUCUGGUGCGGUUAACGUAUUAACAGGUGUGACGCAGGAAGGUAGCCUCCGCGGGGCGAUGGUUGUCCCCGUUUAAGGAUGUAGGGCGAGAGAUAGGCAAAUCCGUCUCUCACAUAGCCUGAGAUCUGAUGAUGAGUCCUUAUGGACGAAGUGGGUGAUCCUAUGCUGCCAAGAAAAGCAUCGACGUGAGGUUCUAGCUGCCCGUACCCCAAACCGACUCAGGUAGUCAAGUAGAGAAUACUAAGGGGAUCGAGAGAAUCGUGGUUAAGGAACUCGGCAAAAUGCCCCCGUAACUUCGGGAGAAGGGGGGCCUGAGGUGUGAAGACAUUUACUGUUGGAGCACUGUAUGGCCGCAGAGACCAGUGGGGAGCGACUGUUUAUCAAAAACACAGGUCCGUGCGAAGUCGCAAGACGAUGUAUACGGACUGACGCCUGCCCGGUGCUGGAAGGUUAAGAGGAUGGGUUAGCUUCGGCAAAGCUCAGAAUUUAAGCCCCAGUAAACGGCGGUGGUAACUAUAACCAUCCUAAGGUAGCGAAAUUCCUUGUCGGGUAAGUUCCGACCUGCACGAAUGGCGUAACGACUCCCCAACUGUCUCAACCGCGAACUCGGCGAAAUUGCACUAUGAGUGAAGAUGCUCAUUACGCGCAGAAGGACGAAAAGACCCCGUGACCUUUACUAUAGCUUGGUAUUGGUGUUCGGUGCUGCAUGUGUAGGAUAGGUGGGAGACUAUGAAGCUUGGACGCUAGUUCAGGUGGAGUCAUUGUUGAAAUACCACUCUUGUAGCCCUGGAUAUCUAACCGCGAACCGUGAUCCGGUUCCGGGACAGUGCCUGGUGGGUAGUUUAACUGGGGCGGUUGGAAUUGCAAUAGCGCCCUUAUAGACCACGCCAUCUAAAUCAAGCAGAACGGAGUCGAAGCUAUCUACCAGCACCUCUAGGGCCUCUCCCUUUGGAAUCAGGACGCUUUGGUCUG
Molecule: ribosomal RNA, 1038 nt
Filed under: Aquiluna sp.
Lineage: Bacteria; Bacillati; Actinomycetota; Actinomycetes; Micrococcales; Microbacteriaceae
Description: partial 23S ribosomal RNA
Rfam family: Bacterial large subunit ribosomal RNA
Source: RNAcentral